UACGUAGGGGGCAAGCGUUGUCCGGAUUUAUUGGGCGUAAAGAGCGUGUAGGCGGCCAAGCAGGUCCGCUGUGAAAACUCGAGGCUCAACCUCGAGACGUCGGUGGAAACCGUUUGGCUAGAGUCCGGAAGAGGAGAGUGGAAUUCCCGGUGUAGCGGUGAAAUGCGUAGAUAUCAAGAGGAACACCUGAGGUGAAGACGGGUUGCUGGGCCGACACUGACGCUGAGUGCGCGAAAGCCAGGGGAGCAAACGGG
This 254-nucleotide ribosomal RNA is filed under the name uncultured bacterium. RNAcentral describes it as "partial 16S ribosomal RNA". It matches the Rfam family "Bacterial small subunit ribosomal RNA", at positions 524 to 776 of the family's 1533-position model. The record is from RNAcentral.